CGCGCCGAUGAUAGUGUGGGGUCUCCCCAUGUGAAAGUAGGUUAUCGUCAAGC
RNAcentral lists this ribosomal RNA (53 nucleotides) under Allopseudospirillum japonicum. The record is from RNAcentral. Lineage: Bacteria; Pseudomonadati; Pseudomonadota; Gammaproteobacteria; Oceanospirillales; Oceanospirillaceae.